CCUUGUGACAGAGGGUGCAGAAAAGGCUGAAGUGCCUUUUUUGCCUCAGUCUUCACAGGCAAGGUCAGUUCCCAGACU
Alligator sinensis (Chinese alligator) is the source of this 78-nucleotide small nucleolar RNA. RefSeq annotates it as small nucleolar RNA SNORA17. Lineage: Eukaryota; Metazoa; Chordata; Crocodylia; Alligatoridae. The record is from RefSeq and is a predicted model, not a curated record. The transcript has a single exon.